Long non-coding RNA from Dermacentor silvarum, 723 nucleotides. RefSeq lists it as uncharacterized. Lineage: Eukaryota; Metazoa; Arthropoda; Arachnida; Ixodida; Ixodidae. The transcript has 2 exons. The record is from RefSeq and is a predicted model, not a curated record.
GUGCGCAGUGCUGAAGUCGACGCACUUUUGUACGACCAUGAAUACUGUUGAAGCUAACACCAGAAAAAAAUCGCGCGAAUGAAUUACCACUGGCGCCUCAGCGCAGGUGACCACUAAACAAAAUAUCUGUAAAUGAUCAUGAAAAGCCCUUCCCAUCAAUUUAACCUGUUCUUACUCCCAGGAACAAUAUAUUCGAAAACAGCUUUAAGCUUUCCUGCAUUGUGUUGGUUAGAUAUAAAUAUCGCAGGAACAUACCUAAAUUUGCCCAGCUUACGAGCAAUUUCAAGCUAACAGCAAUGUCUAUCCCGUGCAUUCUGCUUAUAUUGAUCACAUGUGCUUCGAUUCUACCCGUGAAAGCGCAAGAGGGAACAGCAGCCGCAUAUACCCGAGCUGCUUAUCCGUCGUGGCCCUGGAAUUCUCCCGGAUGGCGUUGGUGUCCAUCAGGCCAAGUUUACAAGGAAUGCGAAAGCAGCAGCUGUGGCGAGUGGAAAUGCUAUCAACUAUUUCAACCAGGUGCCAGAGCUUGCACUAAGUGACUGCACAUCCGGGUGCUUCUGUCGUUGGGGCCUGUUCAGAAAUGACAGAAACAAAUGCGUACCCAUCUCGGGAUGUUUCAGACGCGCGAAUCGUGCGGAGUAAUUGGAGCAAAUCUGUCACAGAGCUGUACUUGUCCUUAGUACGCGGCAUCAUUAAAGAGAAUAAAUAUAUUGUGUCAGCCCCGUG